This 340-nucleotide unclassified non-coding RNA is filed under the name Hevea brasiliensis (rubber tree). The record is from RNAcentral. Lineage: Eukaryota; Viridiplantae; Streptophyta; Magnoliopsida; Malpighiales; Euphorbiaceae.
AAUCUUUCCAGUCACUCUCUUUCUGGGCUACCGAACCGGACAGAACGCAAGAGCCCCCUUUACGAGGAAUUGAUUAUCCAGAAGCUUCAGAUCAAACGGAGAACGGGAACUGGUCUACAAUCCAUUGACCGACGCUAAAUGGGAUCUGGGGCGGGCAGUUUUUUCAAGGUCAUCCUCAAAAACUUCGAUGUUCUUGCCGGGCCUCUUGUGAGUCUUGUUUAUCCUCUAUAUGCAUCAGUAAGAGCCAUAGAAACAAAGUCUCCUGUGGACGAUCAGCAAUGGCUUACUUACUGGAUUCUAUAUUCUAUGCUCACCCUCUUUGAGCUGACAUUUGCAAAAG